AUACGGAGGAUGCAAGCGUUAUCCGGAUUUAUUGGGCUUAAAGGGUGCGUAGGCGGAUGAUUAAGCGUGAGGUGAAAUGCCACUGCUCAACAGUGGAACUGCCUCGAGAACUGGUUGUCUUGAAUGCUCCUGCCGUGGGAGGAAUGUGUGGUGUAGCGGUGAAAUGCAUAGAGAUCACACAGAACACCGAUUGCGAAGGCAUCUCACGAAGGGGUGAUUGACGCUGAGGCACGAAAGCGUGGGGAUCAAACAGGAUUAGAUACCCUGGUAGUCCACGCAGUAAACGAUGAUAACUAACCGCUGGGUCGUAGUGAUUCAGUGGCCAAGCGAAAGCGAUAAGUUAUCCACCUGGGGAGUACGACCGCAAGGUUGAAACUCAAAUGAAUUGGCGGGG
Molecule: ribosomal RNA, 394 nt
Filed under: uncultured bacterium
Lineage: Bacteria
Description: partial 16S ribosomal RNA
Rfam family: Bacterial small subunit ribosomal RNA
Source: RNAcentral